RNAcentral lists this long non-coding RNA (4177 nucleotides) under Sus scrofa (pig). Its description in RNAcentral is "lncRNA (ENSSSCG00000055755.1)". Lineage: Eukaryota; Metazoa; Chordata; Mammalia; Artiodactyla; Suidae. The record is from RNAcentral.
UAUGCUUGUGUUCCUUUUUCUCUAGUUUUUGUGUUAUCUAUUGUAGGUUUCUGACUUGUGAUUACUAUGAGGUUCAUACAUGUUGACACAUAACUAUACUUAUAUGUUUUAAAUUGGUAGUCAUUUAAGUUCAAACACAUUCUGAAAGGUUAACAUUUUUUACCCACCGCCCCCACAUUUUGUCAGGGUUUUUGUUUUGUUUUUUGCUUUUUAGGGUCACACCCACAGUAUAUGGAGGUUCCCAGGCUAGGGGUUGAAUCAGGAGCUGCAGCUGCCAGCCUAUACCACAGCCACAGCAGUGGGGGAUCCGAGUUGCGUCUUUGACCUACGCCAUAGUUCAGAACAAUGCCAAAUCCCCAACUCACUAAGUGAGGCCAGGGAUUGAACCCACAUCCUCAUAGAUUCAUUUCCGCUGAGCCACGUCAGGAACUCCCCAUUUUGUGGUUUUGAUGUCUUAAUUUACAUCUUCCUGUCUAUCCCUUAACUGGUUAACAUAUUACAGCUGAUUUUACAAUUUUUGUCCUUUAAUCUUUGUACUAGUUUAAGUUUAUCCAUAGCCUUUACUACAUAUUUGCCUUGACUAAUGGAAUUUUCUUUCCCUAUAAAUUCUUACUUCUUUUUGUAGCCCUUCUUUUUCCACUUAAAGAAGACCCUUUCACACUUCUUGUCAGGCCAGCUUAGUAUUGAUGAGCUCUUAGUUUUUGACUGGGAAGUUCUCUCUCUCUCUCCUUGAAUUCUGAAUGAUAACAUUGCUAGGUAGAGUAUCCUGUGGUUGUAGGCUUUUCCCUUUCAGCACUUUCAGUAUAUUGUCCCACUCCCUUCUGGCCUGCAAAAUUUUUGCAGAAAAAUCAACUGAUAGUCUUAUGAGAGUUCCCUUGUAUGUGAAUCUUUUUCUCUUGCUGUCUUCAAAGUUUUCUUUUUAACUUUUGCCAUUUUAAUUAUGAUAUAGCUUGGUACAGGUCUCUCUGGGUUCAUCCUAUCUGGGACUCCAUGAUUCCUCUACCUGGAAUUCUGUUUCUUUCUUCAAGCUUCAGGAAGUUUUUCAGCCAUACUUUAAUCAAAUACACUUUCUACCCAUUUCCUUCUUUUCUCUCCUUCUGUGACCCCUAUAAUGGUUAUGUCACCAUGCUUGAUGUUGUCUCAGAGGUCCCUUAGACUAUCCUCAUUUAUAAGAUUUUUCUGUGUUCUUAUUGGAUGAUUUCUAUUAUUCUAUCUUCUACAUAACUUAUGUGUUCUUCCGUAUCACCUAGUCUGCUGUUAACUCCUUCUAGUGUACUUUUCAUUUCCGUUAUUGUAUUACUCAGCUGCUAUUAUAAAAUAUUUCCUAGUUCUGUGUUAAAAUUCUCACUAUAUUAAUCUAUUCCUUCCCCAAGUUCAGUUAGCAUUAUUAUUACUAUUGCUUUGAACUCUCUGGUGUGCUGGCAGCUACCACCAUAUUAGAAGGUGGAGCUGGAGAUGGAGGGGCUAUAGCCAGAGCCAGGCAUGAGUGAGGACUUCUUCUCUGCUCAAUGGCAGUCAUCUUAUCAGGGGUGGGUUUGGGGCCCAAGGUACUACAGCACAAGCCCUGAGAGUCAGGUCUGAGCUGGUUCUCUUCCCUCUAAGUGUACACAACCUCCUUGUCAAUGGCAGCCUCUACCAGAGUAGAGACCAGUCCUGGAGCAAGAGGGACUAGAAUGGGUGUCUGGUAUGGGCUGGGGUGUGCACUGGGACAGUCCCAGGAAGCCAGUCAGAGCCCCAGGAGGUUUUCAAUCUGUUGGUUCCAUGCACAUUCUGGUAAUGGCUGCCUUUGCCCUGUUCAGAGGCAGGGUCAGAUUAGUGGUGGCUCCAUUCUCUCUAAAUGUGCACAUUCUCCUUGACAACAGCACCUCUGCCCUGGUGGAGAGCGGCCCCUGGGUGGCCCUGUCUCAUGGCAUUUAUCAGACUGUUGGAAUUGGCCAUGUCCUCAUUGUCCUCCCUCCCCAGACAGGAAACUCCUCUGUGCCCAAAGUGGCCUAGCACAGAAUGGGUACUGAUGAAUGAAUGAUUAAUGAACUGGCUAAUAAGAAACAAGGCUCAAGUAAACCCACCAGGGCUGAGAAAGGAAACCCAAAGGAGGAUCAACAAAUAAUCUGGAACCAGAUUAAGGAAAGCUUUGAAUGCCAAUUUAAGGAUUUUGGACUUUAUCUUGUGGGCUACACACACACACAUGGCAAAUCACUCUUCUCCUUUGCCUGGAAGUCUCUCCCCUUAGCCAUGUGACACUCCCUCCAUUCAGGUCUCUGUUUAAAUGGUCAUCUGAGGAGUUCUGACCACUCUACGUAACACAGCACACCUCACCUGACCCUUUUGCCUCACUUUCUCUCCAUAGAACUUAGCACCACUUCACCUGUAUCAAUUUGUUCACUGUCAUUAUCCCCUCACUACAGUGUAAGAUCAAUGACAGCAGAGACAUUGUUUUGUUCACUGCUGUGUCCUCAGUGCCAACAAUGGUAUCCAAGUCAGAGCUUGAGAAAAUAUUUGUGGAAUAAAUGAAUCCCAGUUUUACAGAUGAGGAAAUAACGUCUUGCAGCUAGUAAAUGGUGGUGGUGGGACUCAGACCCAGAGCUUCUAUCAGUUUGACUCUAAAGAAUGUCCUUUAACAGGAUCCCAUGGGAAGGUCUCAAGGUACAGGUCUUGGAAUCCGAAAGACCUUGGCUUAAAUUCAUGGUUCUUUACCAUUUGGGAUUCCCUGACUCCUUUGGGUAUCUGUUGAAGGUUUUACUCUCUUUUCCUUGAGGAAAAAAAGGGCAAAGAUGGAACAUUUUGCAAAUGACAUCAAAGAGCUCAUGGACACUCUUAAGUAUCUUUUCUGAGCUUCCUGGCUUGUGUCUCUGGACAAGUCACCUCUACUCUCUAAGCCUCAGUCACUGCUCUAAAUUGGGGAUAAUGAGGAGUUUCCACUGUGCUCAGUGGGUUAAGAACCCAACUAGUAUUCAAGAAGAUGCAGGUUUGAUCCCUGGCCUUGCUCAGUGGGUUAAGGAUUUGGCAUUGCCAUAAGCCAUGGAGGAGGUGGCAGAUGUGGCUCGGAUCCAGUGUUGCUGUGGCUGUGGUGUAGGCUGGCAGCUGUAGCUCUAAUUAGACCCCUAGCCUGGGAACUUCCAUUAUGCCAUGGGUGUAACCAUAAGAGAAAAAAUAAAAUAAAGUGGGGAUAAUGAAGCUGAUCCCACAGGGUUGAAGGAAGAUCCAAACAGCUCAGUAUAAGCACCCCCUGUUCAAAAUCUCCUUAGUUCCCAUUUCCCUUUCACUACCUAAGCCACUGUGUGGCCUGGGUCCCAGGUCCAUUCAUGUGACUCUCAGACCCUUCCUUCCUAUAACCCUUAGUCGCUCCACCAGGAAAGUGGGAUUAUUGCUCAUUUAACAGAAUGGAUCAAAUGAGACAGUGAAAGCCCUCAGGAAACACUAAAGCCCUAGAAACGCUUCCCAAGACAUCCCCUCUGAGUGUCACAAAUUGCUUUACUGUUUCAAUUUAGGCUACAAAGAGCAUUCUGCAGAGCCAGGCCUAAGGAGUUCAAGGAUAAUGCGGGUCAAAUCCCAUUAUACCAAAUCCUAUUAUAGUGCCACCAGCCAUGGAAAGAGCUUGAAAGUGGAUGCUUCAGUAUUACUGAGGUCCUGAAAUGACUGCAGCUUCAACCAAAAGACUUACUACAAUCUCAUGAGAGACCCUGAACCAAAACCACCCAGCUGCACUGCUCUCAAAUUCCUAAUACUCAGUAACUGUGAGCUAAACCUUUGUUGUUUUAAGCAGCUGUGUUUGGAGUAUACAGCAGUACAUAACUAAUAAAGAUGAUAACAGAAAAUUAUAAUAUUCGUAGGUGUGACAGUGGCAUUGUGAUUAUGUAGGGGGAUCUCUUCAUUUUUAGGAUUUGUAUCCUAAUGAACUUAGGGGUGAUAUGCCAUGAUGUCUUUAUGAUUUGUAAAUAUACAUACAUACAUGGCAUAUACACACACACAUAUACACACAUAACAAAAAUACUAACCGUUAUUGAAUCUAGACAGCAGGUAUAUAAGUAAAAUCACUCUAUUCUUCUUUCGACUCUUCUAUAUCUUUUAACAUUUCACACAAUAAAAACUUAAAGAGUUCCUGCUUCUGGCAAAGGAGUAAUAGGAUCCCAGUUUGUCCUCUCAACAAAACAACACAAAAAACAUCAAAAGUAUAUGA